This 505-nucleotide long non-coding RNA is filed under the name Androctonus crassicauda. The record is from RNAcentral. Lineage: Eukaryota; Metazoa; Arthropoda; Arachnida; Scorpiones; Buthidae.
UGACUGGGUUGUUUCCCUGUUGUGACACUUAUGAACAGUGAUGUGAAGGCAGAAAUGUGUUUUGCUCCUUCACACUGGUUUCAGUUCCUCUCAGGGUGUACCCUGGUAUUUGCCCUGGAGAUUUCAUCCUCUAAAGCUUUGUCUUCUUGCUGAACCUCCAUUAAGAAGUAGGUCUAAUGUAAGUCCUUGGAUGUACCACCUUGGCGUGGGUGGGUGGGAGGUAAUAGGCUUCUCACAGGACUCUGGGAGUUCUAGAGCAAGUAAGUCCAUUGACCAGCCUAACUUGGUAUCCAUCUCAAGGGGAGGCUCCAACGCCUGACACUAUUACCAAUGCUAUGGUGUGCUUACAGAUAGGAGCGUAGCAUGGCUGUCUUCUGAGAGGCCUAACAAACAGCUGACUUAGACUUACACUCAACUAGUGGACGGAAGUUGGGAACCACUGUGGUUUCGAAAGAAAUUUGACCUCUAAGUCAGGACCCUCCUGCUAUAGUUUCCUGAGUGUUGG